This 321-nucleotide long non-coding RNA is filed under the name Setaria viridis. Its description in RNAcentral is "long non-coding RNA (SVIR_LNC009133)". Lineage: Eukaryota; Viridiplantae; Streptophyta; Magnoliopsida; Poales; Poaceae. The record is from RNAcentral.
UCAUUCGUAUGUGCUUUGGCCAUGUGGCUGUCUUUCAUUACAUUGCUGGAGUAGCAUUAUCAGAUUAUUUUCACUUCCAGCACUGAUGGGCAGAUGGAUACAGCAAGUUAAUUAUUAUAUUUGUUAUUGAUCAAUAGGUAAUUAGAUUUAACAGGAAAAGGAUUUUUUUGCAAAAGAGGCAAAGGAUAUUAAUGGCAUUAAAAAUAAGAAAGGAAUCCUAGGUUUUAAGUUAUUAAUAUCAUUGGAUCUCACUAGACAUGUCAUGCAUGUCACGCCUCUCCGUCCGUUACACCCCAUAUAUUUUAUCUUAUGUGGUAUUCU